GCUGGGUGUGGUGGCGUGUGCCUGUAGUCCCAGCUACUUGGGAGGCUGAGGUGGGAGAGACACCUGAGCCCAGGGAGGUUGAGGGUGCAGUGAGCUGUGAUCACACCACUGCACUCCAGCCUGGGCAACACAGUGAGAUCCUGUCUCAA
Gorilla gorilla gorilla (western lowland gorilla) is the source of this 149-nucleotide non-coding RNA. It matches the Rfam family "Metazoan signal recognition particle RNA". Rfam says of the family: The signal recognition particle (SRP) is a universally conserved ribonucleoprotein. It is involved in the co-translational targeting of proteins to membranes. NCBI's taxonomy places the organism in Eukaryota, Metazoa, Chordata, Mammalia, Primates, Hominidae. The record is from Rfam.